RNAcentral lists this non-coding RNA (148 nucleotides) under Nomascus leucogenys (northern white-cheeked gibbon). Lineage: Eukaryota; Metazoa; Chordata; Mammalia; Primates; Hylobatidae. The record is from Rfam by way of RNAcentral.
GCCGGGUGUGGUGGCGUGCGCCUGUAGUCCCAGCUACUUGGAAGGCUGAGGCAGGAGAAUCGCUUGAACCCAGGAGGCAGGGGUUGCAGUGAGCCGAGAUUGCACCACUGCAGUCCAGCCUGGGCAGUAGAGCGAGACUCUGUCUCAA